UAAGGGCACCACAAGAACGCGUGGAGCCAUGUGGCCUAAUUUGACUCAACGCGGGAAAUCUUACCGGGUCCGGACACACUGAGGAUUGACAGGCAAUAUCUAAAUCGUUUAUAAUAAUUCCUAUUAUAAUACGCUUUUAGUGUUAAAUAUGCUAGUCCUUUCAUGAUUAUGUGAUAGGUGGUGCAUGGCCGUUCUUAGUUCGUGGAGUGAUCUGUCUGCUUAAUUGCGUUUCACUAAGGGCCCAUAAAUUCAAGGUAUGUUAGCUAUCGUUUCUCAAUUGACCCCUUGUCUUCGAUAAGCGCGUGUCUUUUAGAGUUUAAACAUUGCGCAUGCUGUUGGGUCCUGAAAGCAACGAACGUGACCGCAACGUCUUAUUGCCUUUAUCUUGUUAUAUUCUAAUUUAAUUAGAAAUAACUAACAGAGGCUAAUUUAAAAUUAGACGGACCGCUGUACUUUUCUUAAACCAGAGGAAGGUUGCGGCAAUAACAGGUCUGUGAUGCCCUUAGAUGUUCCGGGCUGCACACGUGCUACAAUGAUCAGUACAGUGAGCAUCUCAAUAUUAUACACCGUAUUAAGCGCUUAGUUGCGAUUAUUGGCUCAUUAUUUAUUAAGGGUCUUUUAAUUGUAUUUCUAAUGCGCGCGGUAAAGCCUGCUUCGAGAGUAAGUGGGUAAUCCAUUGGAAGUAAUGAUUUCUCUUUUUAUAGCACACCUAUAUACGGCAUUCAUUCCCGGGACGACUAGUUUCGUCUUUUUUGUGCGAAUGUAAUGUAUUCUUUAUCCGUAUGUGCGAUUGUCAAUUCAUGGUGGGGACAGACCAUUGUUAAUUGUUGGUCUCGGUCUUAACUAGGAAUGCCUUGUACGGGUCUUUGGUUCAACAAACCACCCGGAAUACGUCCCUGCCCUUUGUACACACCGCCCGUCGCUCUUACCGAUGAACUUCUUUGUGAGUCUAAGGGACUGGGUUAAUCUGUAAUUUCUAUUAUGGAUAUACCUAUGGAAACUUAUACGAACAAUGUGGUUUAAAGAAAAAAGAAGUCGUAACAAGGCAUCCA
Molecule: ribosomal RNA, 1052 nt
Filed under: Neogloboquadrina dutertrei
Lineage: Eukaryota; Foraminifera; Rotaliida; Globorotaliidae
Description: bacterial SSU rRNA
Rfam family: Eukaryotic small subunit ribosomal RNA
Source: RNAcentral